RNAcentral lists this ribosomal RNA (376 nucleotides) under uncultured bacterium. RNAcentral describes it as "bacterial SSU rRNA". It matches the Rfam family "Bacterial small subunit ribosomal RNA", at positions 524 to 898 of the family's 1533-position model. The record is from RNAcentral.
UACGUAGGUGGCAAGCGUUGUCCGGAUUUAUUGGGCGUAAAGCGAGCGCAGGCGGUUCAUUAAGUCUGAUGUGAAAGCCCCCGGCUCAACCGGGGAGGGUCAUUGGAAACUGGUGGACUUGAGUGCAGAAGAGGAGAGUGGAAUUCCAUGUGUAGCGGUGAAAUGCGUAGAUAUAUGGAGGAACACCAGUGGCGAAGGCGCCUUUCUGGACUGUAACUGACACUGAGGCUCGAAAGCGUGGGGAGCAAACAGGAGUAGAGACCCUGGUAGUCCACGCCGUAAACGAUGAGUGCUAAGUGUUGGAGAGUUUCCGCCCUUCAGUGCUGCAGCAAACGCAUUAAGCACUCCGCCUGGGGAGUACGACCGCAAGGUUGAA